This 170-nucleotide ribosomal RNA is filed under the name Lindera benzoin (northern spicebush). RNAcentral's name for it is "partial small subunit ribosomal RNA". Lineage: Eukaryota; Viridiplantae; Streptophyta; Magnoliopsida; Laurales; Lauraceae. The record is from RNAcentral.
GUCGAACGUUGUUUUCGGGGAGCUGGGCAGAAGGAAAAGAGGCUCCUAGCUNNNNNNNUAGCUUGUCUCGCCCUGCUGAAAAACGGAAGUGCGCGCUAGCGCACUCCGGCUUUCGAGCCAAGAUGGCUCUCAGCCUUCGGUUUGCUGGGAACAGUUGAGAACAAAGUGGC